AUGCAAAGCGAACGCGGCGAACUGAAACAUCUAAGUAGCUGCAGGAAAAGAAAUCAACCGAGAUUCCCAAAGUAGUGGCGAGCGAAAUGGGAUGAGCCUGUACGUGAUAGUCGAUUGAAUAGUGGAAGCUUCUGGAAAUAAGCGCCAUAGCGGGUGAUAGCCCCGUACACGAAAUUCAAACGGUGGUACUAAGCGUACGACAAGUAGGGCGGGACACGAGAAAUCCUGUCUGAACAUGGGGGGACCAUCCUCCAAGGCUAAAUACUCGUAAUCGACCGAUAGUGAACCAGUACCGUGAGGGAAAGGCGAAAAGAACCCCGGGAGGGGAGUGAAAUAGAUCCUGAAACCGUGUGCAUACAAACAGUCGGAGCCUCUUCGUGGGGUGACGGCGUACCUUUUGUAUAAUGGGUCAGCGACUUACAUUCAGUGGCGAGGUUAACCGAAUAGGGGAGCCGUAGAGAAAUCGAGUCCGAACAGGGCGACAGUCGCUGGGUGUAGACCCGAAACCAAGUGAUCUACCCAUGGCCAGGAUGAAGGUGCGGUAACACGCCCUGGAGGUCCGAACCCACUAAUGUUGAAAAAUUAGGGGAUGAGCUGUGGGUAGGGGUGAAAGGCUAAACAAACUUGGAAAUAGCUGGUUCUCUCCGAAAACUAUUUAGGUAGUGCCUCAAGUAUCACCAUCGGGGGUAGAGCACUGUUAUGGCUAGGGGGUCAUUGCGACUUACCAAACCAUUGCAAACUCCGAAUACCGAUGAGUGCGAGCUUGGGAGACAGACGUCGGGUGCUAACGUCCGGCGUCAAGAGGGAAACAACCCAGACCGCCAGCUAAGGUCCCAAAGAUUGGCUAAGUGGAAAACGAAGUGGGAAGGCUAAAACAGUCAGGAUGUUGGCUUAGAAGCAGCCAUCAUUUAAAGAAAGCGUAAUAGCUCACUGAUCGAGUCGUCCUGCGCGGAAGAUGUAACGGGGCUAAGCCAGUCACCGAAGCUGCGGAUAU
This 994-nucleotide ribosomal RNA is filed under the name Massilia sp. ZL223. RNAcentral's name for it is "partial 23S ribosomal RNA". It matches the Rfam family "Bacterial large subunit ribosomal RNA", at positions 172 to 1209 of the family's 2925-position model. The record is from RNAcentral. Lineage: Bacteria; Pseudomonadati; Pseudomonadota; Betaproteobacteria; Burkholderiales; Oxalobacteraceae.